Molecule: ribosomal RNA, 686 nt
Filed under: uncultured Bacillus sp.
Lineage: Bacteria; Bacillati; Bacillota; Bacilli; Caryophanales; Bacillaceae
Description: bacterial SSU rRNA
Rfam family: Bacterial small subunit ribosomal RNA
Source: RNAcentral
GAGUUUGAUCCUGGCUCAGGACGAACGCUGGCGGUGCCUAAUACAUGCAAGUCGUACGCAUUGAAGAGAACUUGUUCUCUUGACGUGAGUGGCGAACGGGUGAGUAACACGUGGGUAACCUACCCUUCAGCGGGGGAUAACCAUCGGAAACGAUGACUAAUACCGCAUAGACGACAGAGUCACCUGACUCAAUCGGGAAAGACGGCUUCGGCUGUCACUGAAGGAUGGACCCGCGGUGCAUUAGCUAGUUGGUAAGGUAACGGCUUACCAAGGCCAUGAUGCAUAGCCGACCUGAGAGGGUGAUCGGCCACAUUGGGACUGAGACACGGCCCAAACUCCUACGGGAGGCAGCAGUAGGGAAUCUUCCGCAAUGGACGAAAGUCUGACGGAGCAACGCCGCGUGUAUGAAGAAGGUUUUCGGAUCGUAAAGUACUGUUGUUAGAGAAGAACACCCAGUAAAGUAACUGUUACUGGAUUGACGGUAUCUAACCAGAAAGUGACGGCUAACUACGUGCCAGCAGCCCGCGGUAAUACGUAGGUCACAAGCGUUGUCCGGAUUUAUUGGGCGUAAAGGGAGCGCAAGCGGCUGUUAAGUCUGAUGUGAAAGCCCCGGCUCAACCCGUGGAACUGCAUUUGGAAACUGGUAGACUUGAGUGCAAAAAAAAGAAAAGUGGAAAUUCCUUGUG